ACCCAGCCGACGAGUCCCAAAUAGGAUGAAAUGAGCGUUGUCCUGGAU
RNAcentral lists this non-coding RNA (48 nucleotides) under Trichobilharzia regenti. The record is from RNAcentral. Lineage: Eukaryota; Metazoa; Platyhelminthes; Trematoda; Strigeidida; Schistosomatidae.